UUAAGCUUCAAACUGGGAUUAGAUACCCCACUAUUCUUGGGUGUAAACUGAUAUUUUUGUCUACCAGAGUACUAUGAAUAUUUUUAAAUUUAAAACUCAAAGAACUUGGCGGUGUUUUAGACCACUCAGGGGAACCUGUCUCGUAAUCGAUGAUCCACGUUAUACCUGACCUCUUUUUGUUUUCAGCUUGUAUACCGUUGUCGUCAGGUAACUUUUUAGAAACUAGAAGUUAGCUAUAAGAAAAUAAUAAGCUAGAACGUCAAAUCAAGGUGCAGUUUAUAAAGGGGGGAGGAUGGGUUACAAUUAUAUAUUUAUAAUUUACGGAAUACUAGAAGAAUGGAUAGUAUUUAGAAGGAGGACUUGAAAGUAAAUUAGAUUAUAUAAAUAAUUUGAAUAAGGCUCUGAAACGUGUACACACCGCCCGUCACCCUCUGCAGUCAA
RNAcentral lists this ribosomal RNA (441 nucleotides) under Duplicaria koreana. Its description in RNAcentral is "partial 12S ribosomal RNA". It matches the Rfam family "Microsporidia small subunit ribosomal RNA", at positions 643 to 1215 of the family's 1311-position model. Lineage: Eukaryota; Metazoa; Mollusca; Gastropoda; Neogastropoda; Terebridae. The record is from RNAcentral.